RNAcentral lists this ribosomal RNA (435 nucleotides) under uncultured bacterium. RNAcentral describes it as "partial 16S ribosomal RNA". It matches the Rfam family "Bacterial small subunit ribosomal RNA", at positions 29 to 507 of the family's 1533-position model. The record is from RNAcentral.
AACGAACGCUGGCGGCAGGCCUAACACAUGCAAGUCGAGCGGUCAUCUUCGGAUGUUAGCGGCGGACGGGUGAGUAACGCGUGGGAACGUGCCCUUUGCUUCGGAAUAGCCUCGGGAAACUGGGAGUAAUACCGGAUGUACCCUUUGGGGGAAAGAUUUAUCGGCAAAGGAUCGGCCCGCGUUGGAUUAGGUAGUUGGUGGGGUAAUGGCCUACCAAGCCGACGAUCCAUAGCUGGUUUGAGAGGAUGAUCAGCCACACUGGGACUGAGACACGGCCCAGACUCCUACGGGAGGCAGCAGUGGGGAAUCUUAGACAAUGGGGGAAACCCUGAUCUAGCCAUGCCGCGUGAGCGAUGAAGGCCUUAGGGUUGUAAAGCUCUUUCACCGGGGAAGAUAAUGACGGUACCCGGAGAAGAAGCCCCGGCUAACUCCGUG